AUUGAACGCCGGCGGCAUGCCUUACACAUGCAAGUCGAACGGCAGCACGGGUGCUUGCACCUGGUGGCGAGUGGCGAACGGGUGAGUAAUACAUCGGAACGUACCUUAUCGUGGGGGAUAACGCAGCGAAAGCUGUGCUAAUACCGCAUACGCCCUGAGGGGGAAAGCGGGGGAUCGCAAGACCUCGCGCGAUUAGAGCGGCCGAUGCCUGAUUAGCUUGUUGGUGGGGUAAAAGCCCACCAAGGCGACGAUCAGUAGCUGGUCUGAGAGGACGAUCAGCCACACUGGGACUGAGACACGGCCCAACCUCCUAGGGGAGGCAGCAGGGGGGAAUUUUGGACAAUGGGGGCAACCCUGAUCCAGCAAUGCCGCGUGAGUGAAGAAGGCCUUCGGGUUGUAAAGCUCUUUUGUCAGGGAAGAAACACCGGCUCUAACACAGUCCGGGAAUGACGGUACCUGAAGAAUAAGCACCGGCUAACUACGUGCCAGCCGCCGCAGUAA
RNAcentral lists this ribosomal RNA (501 nucleotides) under uncultured bacterium. Its description in RNAcentral is "partial 16S ribosomal RNA". It matches the Rfam family "Bacterial small subunit ribosomal RNA", at positions 29 to 523 of the family's 1533-position model. The record is from RNAcentral.